This 433-nucleotide ribosomal RNA is filed under the name uncultured bacterium. Its description in RNAcentral is "partial 16S ribosomal RNA". It matches the Rfam family "Bacterial small subunit ribosomal RNA", at positions 29 to 507 of the family's 1533-position model. The record is from RNAcentral.
AACGAACGCUGGCGGCAGGCCUAACACAUGCAAGUCGAGCGAGGACUUCGGUUCUAGCGGCGGACGUGUGAGUAACGCGUGGGAAUGUGCCCUUCUCUACGGAAUAGCCCUGGGAAACUUGGAUUAAUACCGUAUACGCCCUAUUGGGGAAAGAUUUAUCGGAGAAGGAUCAGCCCGCGUUGGAUUAGGUAGUUGGUGGGGUAAUGGCCUACCAAGCCGACGAUCCAUAGCUGGUGUGAGAGGAUGAUCAGCCACACUGGGACUGAGACACGGACCAGACUCGUACGGGAGGCAGCAGUGGGGAAUCUUAGACAAUGGGGGCAACCCUGAUCUAGCCAUGCCGCGUGAGUGAUGAAGGCCUUAGGGUUGUAAAGCUCUUUCAGCUGGGAAGAUAAUGACGGUACCAGCAGAAGAAGCACCGGCUAACUACGUG